RNAcentral lists this ribosomal RNA (889 nucleotides) under uncultured bacterium. RNAcentral describes it as "bacterial SSU rRNA". It matches the Rfam family "Bacterial small subunit ribosomal RNA", at positions 505 to 1397 of the family's 1533-position model. The record is from RNAcentral.
GUGCCAGCAGCCGCGGUAAUACGGAAGGUCCGGGCGUUAUCCGGAUUUAUUGGGUUUAAAGGGAGCGCAGGCCGGUGCUUAAGCGUGACGUGAAAUGCCGCGGCUCAACCGUGGAAGUGCGUCGCGAACUGGGUGCCUUGAGUGAGUUCGACGUAGGCGGAAUUCGUGGUGUAGCGGUGAAAUGCUUAGAUAUCACGAAGAACCCCGAUUGCGAAGGCAGCCUACGAGGCCUCAACUGACGCUAAAGCUCGAAGGUGCGGGUAUCGAACAGGAUUAGAUACCCUGGUAGUCCGCACGGUAAACGAUGGACGCCCGCUGUUGGCGAUACACGGUCAGCGGCCAAGCGAAAGCGUUAAGCGUCCCACCUGGGGAGUACGCCGGCAACGGUGAAACUCAAAGGAAUUGUCGGGGGCCCGCACAAGCGGAGGAACAUGUGGUUUAAUUCGAUGAUACGCGAGGAACCUUACCCGGGCUUGAACUGCAGCAGAACGAUUCAGAGAUGAUGAGGUCCUUCGGGACUGCUGUGGAGGUGCUGCAUGGUUGUCGUCAGCUCGUGCCGUGAGGUGUCGGCUUAAGUGCCAUAACGAGCGCAACCCCUGCGUGUAGUUGCCAUCAGGCGAUGCUGGGCACUCUGCGCGGACUGCCACCGUAAGGUGUGAGGAAGGUGGGGAUGACGUCAAAUCAGCACGGCCCUUACGUCCGGGGCUACACACGUGUUACAAUGGGUGGUACAGAGAGCAAGUCCCCAGCAAUGUGGGCUGAAUCAUGAAAGCCAUCCUCAGUUCGGAUUGGGGUCUGCAACCCGACCCCAUGAAGCUGGAUUCGCUAGUAAUCGCGCAUCAGCCAUGGCGCGGUGAAUACGUUCCCGGGCCUUGUACACACCGCCCGU